Molecule: long non-coding RNA, 1347 nt
Organism: Gossypium raimondii (Peruvian cotton)
Lineage: Eukaryota; Viridiplantae; Streptophyta; Magnoliopsida; Malvales; Malvaceae
Exons: 4
Source: RefSeq, a predicted model, not a curated record
UCAAUCCCACUAAAAAUACACACGACUUCUCGGGGCACUCCAAACUGAAAAGAACAAGUCAAUAAAUUAUCCCUUGGCAAUGAAACAUUUCCUUUUCCCUGUUCCAAAGCUAUCAUCCAGAAACUUCACUUCCUCUCCACCCUCCACUUUCCUUUCGAAGUAACAAAACGUACUACUCGGCCACCUCUACAUCUUCCUCGCCGGCGUAUGUGAAAAAGUUUCGAUUCUCCAGAGCCACAAAUGUCUCCAGCGCGUCUUGAUCGAGACCCCAACCAUCUCCCCUUCUCAAACCUUCCUUUACCAGAGAAUGCGCAGAUCUGUUCGCCGAACAUGAAACAUAGAUAAUGAAUCGCCCUCCAUCAUCACCUCCCUCAACCCCAGAUCUCUCCCCAACUUAAGCGAUUGGAGGCAUGCAAGCCGCGAAAGGUGAAGGUACAUUCUCAUUUUUAACGGCUCUCGUACUUAAAAUUCUCGAUCUGCCAUCUCUAGCUAUUAUUCCCGAACAAGAUUUUAAUGUGUGAGCCUGGAAAACGGCAUCACAAUUGAUUUUUAUAAAAGGGACUUCCGGUGGCCUCCACCUCUCACACCCCACCUUGGUGACAGGUAGUUUCUUUUCAAUCUCAUCAAGUUCAUUCAAAUAAUCUAUGGUUUGCCUCGAAAUUUGCCGUGGCGAGAUAAACAUUUUGUUCUGAACCCAUUUAUUUCUUGCGGGCCAAAGAGACCAAACCACACAUACAAUCUUUCGACAGAUGUCAGGUUUCAACUGCAAACGGACAGUCGCGAAACCCAUGCUCCAAUGUCUCCUCACCUCUCAAGCAUUUUGGGCAAGAGUAGCUCCCACCAAUCUUUUAUUGUACAAAUUAUAGGAAUUAGGAAUUAGAUUAUUGAAAAUACGCCAGAAAGUGAUUUUAACAUUUUUUGGCAAAUUAAGCUUCCAUAAUUUGUUGUAAAAAGGUAUAUCGGAAUUAUCCCCUUCUGUUGUAUUUGCAUACCCGAUUCCAUGUUAAAACCUAUACCCACUCCGCACCCACUCCGCACGGUAUAUUCUCCUAAGGGCUACGCUUGCCAAACGACCGCAUCUUCCUCCUUUGAAGCAAAGGGAAUGCAGAGAAUUUUCCUUCCACCCCCAAAUCGAGAAAAUUGGGACUCAAGCAUCUUCCAAAAUAUUAAUUUUUGUCCCCGUUUUGACCCGCCACCCUAGCCCAUCCAAUAGCAAUCCCUUUGCGUACCAAAUACUCUUCCAGAUACGUGAGGGGUAAGCUCCUAACCUUGCUUGCAAAGAAUGUAAAGUAGGAUAGUAUUUUGUCGUAAGUGAUUUGGCUAAUAAUGAACUCUGAUCAUUAACAA